This 22-nucleotide microRNA is filed under the name Octopus vulgaris (common octopus). RNAcentral's name for it is "Ovu-Mir-124_3p (mature (guide))". RNAcentral also lists the same sequence under 1 other name. The record is from RNAcentral. Lineage: Eukaryota; Metazoa; Mollusca; Cephalopoda; Octopoda; Octopodidae.
UAAGGCACGCGGUGAAUGCGUA